AAAGCUUUCUAGAAAGUAAACUUACUGUUUUUUGCCAGAAUGUGUAGGUUGGGGUGAGGGGUAAGAGAAUUCAUUCAGCUGCAUAAAACAGAGAUGGGAUCUUCCAAUGAAUCCUCAAAACUUCUAGACAGUACCUCUAGUUUCUGAGUCCUUCUAGGAGAAAUCUGUAUUGUGAGUUGAGCUUUCUAGUCACUUUACUUCUCUCAGACCCCUGCUCCUGCCCCCAUUACUUGCAAGAUUGCAAUUUUCUGUUAUCUCUAAUAAAUCUUUUACUGUCACUUUUGUGGGGUUGGGACAAAGUAGUGAUAAAUGUGUGAAUGUAAUAUACUGUGUUUAAUGGGUCAAGUAGAAUUCUUUAUUUUUCUAAAUUAUCUAAUAAAAAUUCAUAUUGAUGUAUGUGUUUUAAUAAUUUGGUAGUAAAGAAACACAUGCAUGUAAUUUGUACACACAUAUUUGAAGGUGUGCUCAAAAUAUUACUGCUGGAAGGUAUUGGAUAAGAAACACAUUAGAAACUACUAAUUUUAAAGAUAUAUAGUUAAAUUUUUGAAAACUAUUUGAAUAUUAAGAUGUUGAACAGGAUUUCUUAAGUCAGAAAUACUAAAAAAUUUGCAAGAGAAAAACAUAAU
This 626-nucleotide long non-coding RNA is filed under the name Bos taurus (domestic cattle). RNAcentral's name for it is "long non-coding RNA NONBTAT023143". The record is from RNAcentral. Lineage: Eukaryota; Metazoa; Chordata; Mammalia; Artiodactyla; Bovidae.